AUUUGAAAUCUGGCCUCGGCCCGAGUUGUAAUUUGUAGAGGAAGCUUUUGGUGCGGCACCGACCGAGUCCCCUGGAACGGGGCGCCAUAGAGGGUGAGAGCCCCGUAUGGUUGGACGCCUAUCCUCUGUAAAGCUCCUUCGACGAGUCGAGUAGUUUGGGAAUGCUGCUCAAAAUGGGAGGUAAAUUUCUUCUAAAGCUAAAUACUGGCCAGAGACCGAUAGCGCACAAGUAGAGUGAUCGAAAGAUGAAAAGCACUUUGAAAAGAGGGUUAAAUAGCACGUGAAAUUGUUGAAAGGGAAGCGCUUGUGACCAGACUUGCGCCUCGUCGAUCAUCCGGGGUUCUCCCCGGUGCACUCGGCGGGGCUCAGGCCAGCAUCGGUUUUCGCGGGGGGACAAAGGCACCGGGAACGUAGCUCCUCCGGGAGUGUUAUAGCCCGGGGCGCAAUGCCCUCGCGGGGACCGAGGACCGCGCUUCGGCAAGGAUGCUGGCG
This 492-nucleotide ribosomal RNA is filed under the name Apiosordaria longicaudata. RNAcentral's name for it is "eukaryotic LSU rRNA". It matches the Rfam family "Eukaryotic large subunit ribosomal RNA", at positions 113 to 631 of the family's 3401-position model. Lineage: Eukaryota; Fungi; Ascomycota; Sordariomycetes; Sordariales; Lasiosphaeriaceae. The record is from RNAcentral.